Molecule: microRNA precursor, 82 nt
Organism: Chlorocebus sabaeus (green monkey)
Lineage: Eukaryota; Metazoa; Chordata; Mammalia; Primates; Cercopithecidae
Source: Ensembl
GUGAGUGGGAGGUCAGGGCACGGCAGGGGGAGCUGCAGGCCCUCAGAGGGGCCCCAGCGUCUGAGCCCUGUCCUCCGGCAGG